UACGUAGGGUGCAAGCGUUAAUCGGAAUUACUGGGCGUAAAUCGUGCGCAGGCGGUUUGGUAAGACAGAUGUGAAAUCCCCGGGCUUAACCUGGGAAUUGCAUUUGUGACUGCCCGGCUAGAGUGUGUCAGAGGGGGGUAGAAUUCCACGUGUAGCAGUGAAAUGCGUAGAUAUGUGGAGGAAUACCGAUGGCGAAGGCAGCCCCCUGGGAUAACACUGACGCUCAUGCACGAAAGCGUGGGGAGCAAACAGG
Molecule: ribosomal RNA, 253 nt
Filed under: uncultured bacterium
Lineage: Bacteria
Description: partial 16S ribosomal RNA
Rfam family: Bacterial small subunit ribosomal RNA
Source: RNAcentral